UAAAUAAAGUGCGGGAGGAUGGCUC
This 25-nucleotide non-coding RNA is filed under the name Gossypium hirsutum (cotton). Lineage: Eukaryota; Viridiplantae; Streptophyta; Magnoliopsida; Malvales; Malvaceae. The record is from RNAcentral.